AUUGAACGCUGGCGGCAUGCCUUACACAUGCCAGUCGAACGGCAGCAUGAUCUAGCUUGCUAGAUUGAUGGUGAGUGGCGAACGGGUGAGUAAUACAUCGGAACGUGCCCUGUAGUGGGGGAUAACUAGUCGAAAGAUUAGCUAAUACCGCAUACGACCUGAGGGUGAAAGUGGGGGACCGCAAGGCCUCAUGCUAUAGGAGCGGCCGAUGUCUGAUUAGCUAGUUGGUGAGGUAAAGGCUCACCAAGGCGACGAUCAGUAGCUGGUCUGAGAGGACGAUCAGCCACACUGGGACUGAGACACGGCCCAGACUCCUACGGGAGGCAGCAGUGGGGAAUUUUGGACAAUGGGCGAAAGCCUGAUCCAGCAAUGCCGCGUGUGUGAAGAAGGCCUUCGGGUUGUAAAGCACUUUUGUCCGGAAAGAAAUGGCUCUGGUUAAUACCUGGGGUCGAUGACGGUACCGGAAGAAUAAGGACCGGCUAACUACGUG
Molecule: ribosomal RNA, 490 nt
Filed under: uncultured bacterium
Lineage: Bacteria
Description: partial 16S ribosomal RNA
Rfam family: Bacterial small subunit ribosomal RNA
Source: RNAcentral